This 515-nucleotide ribosomal RNA is filed under the name uncultured bacterium. RNAcentral's name for it is "partial 16S ribosomal RNA". It matches the Rfam family "Bacterial small subunit ribosomal RNA", at positions 28 to 523 of the family's 1533-position model. The record is from RNAcentral.
GAUGAACGCUGGCGGCGUGCCUAAUACAUGCAAGUCGAGCGAAUGGAUUAAGAGCUUGCUCUUAUGAAGUUAGCGGCGGACGGGUGAGUAACACGUGGGUAACCUGCCCAUAAGACUGGGAUAACUCCGGGAAACCGGGGCUAAUACCGGAUAACAUUUUGAACCGCAUGGUUCGAAAUUGAAAGGCGGCUUCGGCUGUCACUUAUGGAUGGACCCGCGUCGCAUUAGCUAGUUGGUGAGGUAACGGCUCACCAAGGCAACGAUGCGUAGCCGACCGGGGAGGGGAAUCGGCCACACUGGGACUGAGACACGGCCCAGACUCCUACGGGAGGCAGCAGUAGGGAAUAUUCCGCAAUGGACGAAAGUCUGACGGAGCAACGCCGCGUGAGUGAGGAAGGCUUUCGGGUCGUAAAACUCUGUUGUUAGGGAAGAACAAGUGCUAGUUGAAUAAGCUGGCACCUUGACGGUACCUAACCAGAAAGCCACGGCUAACUACGUGCCAGCCGCCGCGGUAA